RNAcentral lists this ribosomal RNA (492 nucleotides) under uncultured bacterium. Its description in RNAcentral is "partial 16S ribosomal RNA". It matches the Rfam family "Bacterial small subunit ribosomal RNA", at positions 28 to 507 of the family's 1533-position model. The record is from RNAcentral.
GAUGAACGCUCGCUCCAGGCUUAACACAUGCAAGUCGAGGGGAAACGACAUCGAAAGCUUGCUUUUGAUGGGCGUCGACCGGCGCACGGGUGAGUAACGCGUAUCCAACCUGCCCAUCACUUGGGAAUAACCUUGCGAAAGUAAGACUAAUACCCAAUGAUAUCCCACGAAGGCAUCGGAAUGGGAUUAAAGAUUUAUCGGUGAUGGAUGGGGAUGCGUCUGAUUAGCUUGUUGGCGGGGUAACGGCCCACCAAGGCAACGAUCAGUAGGGGUUCUGAGAGGAAGGUCCCCCACAUUGGAACUGAGACACGGUCCAAACUCCUACGGGAGGCAGCAGUGAGGAAUAUUGGUCAAUGGGCGAGAGCCUGAACCAGCCAAGUAGCGUGCAGGAAGACGGCCCUAUGGGUUGUAAACUGCUUUUAUAAGGGAAUAAAGUGGGUCACGUGUGACUUUUUGCAUGUACCUUAUGAAUAAGGACCGGCUAAUUCCGUG